CAAGGUACUAAGGGCACGCGGUGGAUGCCUUGGCGGCGGGAGGCGAUGAAGGGCGUGGCAAGCUGCGAUAAGCCCGGGGGAGCCGCAAGCAGGCGUUGAUCCCGGGAUUCCCGAAUGGGGAAACCUGGGUGGCCGUUGAGGCCACUCGCCGCCGAAAGGCGGUGCGAUACCGGGGGAAGUGAAACAUCUCAGUACCCCGAGGAAAAGAAAUCAACCGAGAUUCCCCUAGUAGCGGCGAGCGAACGGGGAGGAGCCCAAACCAGCGUGGUGUCAAAGCCCGUGGGCGUUGCCACGCUGGGGUUGCGGGACACGGCCGGGCGAGGCCACGGACUCGCCGGGGAGUUACAAAUCCCUCCUCUAGCCGAACCACCUGGGAAGGUGGGCCGGAGAGGGUGACAGCCCCGUAGGCGAAAGGGGAGGGACUCCCUGGGCCGUGCUCCCGAGUACCGCGGGACACGUGGAAUCCCGUGGGAAGCUGGGGGGACCACCCUCCAAGGCUAAAUACUACCCGCCGUCCGAUAGUGCACCAGUACCGUGAGGGAAAGGUGAAAAGCACCCCGGAAGGGGAGUGAAAGAGGACCUGAAACCGCGUGCCUACAAGAAGUCGGAGCCCCCAUUUGGGGGUGACGGCGUGCCUUUUGAUUAAUGAGCCCGCGAGUUGCCGUCGGUGGCGAGGUUAAGCCGAUGAAGGCGUAGCCGCAGCGAAAGCGAGUCCGAACAGGGCGUUCAGUCACCGGCGGCAGACCCGAAGCCGGGUGAGCUACCCCUGGGCAGGGUGAAGGUGGGUUAAAACCCACUGGAGGCCCGAACCGGUGGACAGUGAAAAGUCCUCGGAUGACCUGGGGGUAGGAGUGAAAAGCUAACCGAACCCGGUGAUAGCUGGUUCUCCCCGAAAUGCAUUGAGGUGCAGCCUCGGGCGGUCUGUGCAGGGGGUAGAGCACUGAUGGGGCUAGGGGGGUUUCCUCCGAACCCCGUCAAACUCCGAAUUCCUGCACACAAAGCCCGGGAGUGAGCCCGCGGGGGAUAAGCUCCGCGGACGAGAGGGGAACAACCCAGACCGCCGGCUAAGGGCCCGAAGAGGUGGCUAAGUGGUAAAGGAUGUGGAGUGCCUAAGACAGCUGGGAUGUUGGCUUAGAAGCAGCCAUCAUUUAAAGAGUGCGUAACAGCUCACCAGCCGAGGCGCUCUGCACCGAAAAUGUAACGGGGCUCAAGCCACCCCCCGAAGCCGCGGGUCAGUGCCUCCGGGAGGUACUGGCGGUAGGGGAGCUUUCCGCUGUAGGGUGAAGGCGGACCCGCGAGGGCCGCUGGACGAGGCGGAAGUGAGAAUGCGGGCAUGAGUAUACGAAAGGAGGGUGAGAAUCCCUCCCCCCGUAAGCCCAAGGGUACCUGGGGAAGGGUCGUCCGCCCAGGGUUAGCCGGGACCCUAAGGUGAACCCGAAAGGGGUAGCCGAAGGGAAGCCGGUUAAUAUUCCGGCGCCAUCUGCGGUCGAUGGUACGAGGGGUGACGCAGGAGGGUAGGCGCCGGGGGCAAGUGGCAUGCCCCUCCAAGCGGUUAGGGCGAUGACGGGCGUAGGUAAAUCCGCGCCCCGAGCCUGAGCCGUGAUGGGGAGGUCCCUUCGGGGACCAACGGCGCUGACCCCACACUGCCGAGAAAAACCUCGCGUACCGCUUGAGACCGUAGGUGCCCGUUCCGCAAACCGACACAGGUGGGCGGGCUGAGAAGGCUCAGGGGAGCGGGUGAACCCUCGCCAAGGAACUCGGCAAAUUGGCCCCGUAACUUCGGGAGAAGGGGUGCCGCGUUAGGGUGAACCCAGGGGAAGGGGCAACCCGGAAACUGGGGGAGCCCGAGGCGGUCGCAGUGACAAGGCCCUGGCGACUGUUUACCAAAAACACAGGUCUCUGCUAACUCGGAAAGAGGAAGUAUAGGGACUGACGCCUGCCCAGUGCCGGAAGGUUAAGGGGAGGGGUGAGGCUCCUCUUGUGGGAGCGUAGCUCCGACCCGAAGCCCCGGUAAACGGCGGCCGUAACUAUAACGGUCCUAAGGUAGCAUUCGCUGCCUGCCCACAGGGGGAUAAAGGUGAGCGAAAUUCCUUGUCGGGUAAGUUCCGACCUGCAUGAAUGGCGUAACGACUGGGGCACUGUCUCGGCGGGGGGCCCGGUGAAAUUUCAGUCUGGGUGAAGAUGCCCAGUACCCGCGGCUAGACGGAAAGACCCCGUGGAGCUUUACUGCAGCCUGGUAUUGGGCUCCGGUGCAUCGUGUAUAGAAUAGGUGGGAGGCUGUGAAGCCGCCUCGCCAGGGGCGGUGGAGCCGCCAGUGGAAUACCACCCUCGGUGCACUGGAGUUCUAACCUGACCCUGUGAAGAGCAGGGUGGGGACAGUGCCAGGUGGGCAGUUUGACUGGGGCGGUCACCUCCUAAAAGGUAACGGAGGUGUGCAAAGGUCGGCUCAGGUGGGUUGGAAAUCCACCGCAGAGUGCAAGGGCAUAAGCCGGCCUGACUGCGAGGCCGACAGGCCGAGCAGGGGGGAAACCCGGCCCUAGUGACCCGGCGGUCCCGUGUGGAAGGGCCGUCGAUCAACGGAUAAAAGUUACCCCGGGGAUAACAGGCUGGUCCCGCCCGAGAGUUCACAUCGACGGCGGGGUUCGGCACCUCGAUGUCGGCUCAUCCCAUCCUGGGGCUGAAGCAGGUCCCAAGGGUUGGGCUGUUCGCCCAUUAAAGGGGUACGUGAGCUGGGUUCAGACCGUCGUGAGACAGGUCGGUCCCUAUCUGCCGCGGGCGUAGGAGGCUUGAGGGGGGUCCUCCCUUGUACGAGAGGACCGGGAGGAGGGGGCCUCUGGUGUACCGGCUGUCGCGCCAGCGGCAUACGCCGGGUAGCUAUGCCCCUAAGCGAUAACCGCUGAAAGCAUCUAAGCGGGAAGCGCGCCCCAAGAUUAGGCCUCCCAUCCCGUUAAGGGAGUAAGGCCGGUCCGAGAAGAGGACCUUGAUAGGCCAGGGGUGUAAGCGCCGCAAGGCGUUGAGCCCACUGGUACUAAUCGGCCGAGGCCUUGA
Molecule: ribosomal RNA, 3048 nt
Filed under: Thermotoga petrophila
Lineage: Bacteria; Thermotogati; Thermotogota; Thermotogae; Thermotogales; Thermotogaceae
Description: 23S ribosomal RNA
Rfam family: Bacterial large subunit ribosomal RNA
Source: RNAcentral